AACGAACGCUGGCGGCAUGCCUAACACAUGCAAGUCGAACGAGACCUUCGGGUCUAGUGGCGCACGGGUGCGUAACGCGUGGGAACCUGCCCUUAGGUUCGGAAUAACUCCCCGAAAGGGGUGCUAAUACCGGAUAAUGUCUUCGGACCAAAGAUUUAUCGCCUUUGGAUGGGCCCGCGUUGGAUUAGCUAGUUGGUAGGGUAAAAGCCUACCAAGGCGACGAUCCAUAGCUGGUCUGAGAGGAUGAUCAGCCACACUGGGACUGAGACACGGCCCAGGCUCCUACGGGAGGCAGCAGUGGGGAAUAUUGGACAAUGGGCGAAAGCCUGAUCCAGCAAUGCCGCGUGAGUGAUGAAGGCCUUAGGGUUGUAAAGCUCUUUUACCCGGGAUGAUAAUGACAGUACCGGGAGAAUAAGCUCCGGCUAACUCCGU
Molecule: ribosomal RNA, 432 nt
Filed under: uncultured bacterium
Lineage: Bacteria
Description: partial 16S ribosomal RNA
Rfam family: Bacterial small subunit ribosomal RNA
Source: RNAcentral